AAGCCUGCCCGCCCGCCGCCGCGCGACACCCCGGCGCCGAGCCCGGGUCCGAGUGACGCCUCCUGUUGGCCGCGGCGGUUUGCUCAGCUCCUGGUCCCGGGCCGCGCCAACUCCGCGCAGUGCAGCUGAGGCGCCGCCCGGCUCUGCAAUUCCGGGUGUUCCCGGGCGUCCCCGCCCCCGCCUUCCCCUCAGCAGGCGCCUGGGCGCCCCCCAACUCCUGUCCAGCCUCCUUCGGACCAACGACCCGCCCCGGCCUCCCUGCAUCCCAGAGACUACUCGCGGCGCCUUCUCUCUCUAAUUCUUCUUUACCCCCUCAGCUCACCUCCCGAGGAGCGUCCAACGGGUCUUGGGGGCUCGCAGAACUGAGCCGCGAAGCGCGGGGGAAAGGCGGCGAGCGCUUCCCGCGGCGGCGGGGAGGAAGACGAAGACUUGUGCGCUCUCAAAGUUAAUGUGAAAACAUCUUCCAAACUUCUGGGCUGCAGCCCGAAACGCGGGGUAGCCGGAAGGCUCCCGUAGCUGCCGUGCCCUCCCCCCCGGGGUCUGGGAAGGGCUCCUAGGCGCCUCAGAGCACCCGGGGUCGGCCCGCGGGGGAGGCCGCAUAGACGCGCCCCCACCCUGACGAACGGGGAAGGGGCAGGCGCCUGCGACCCCAACUAAAUCCUUCGGCGCCUCGGUCUGAUGUAUACACCUGCCACAGGCUCUAAGUGCCUAAGAAGUGUAAACCAAUUCCAUCUUCAUGCUGACGGGACCCGAGUGAAUUCGGUACAAAGGGCAGUCUCAAAAUCAAUCACCCCGAUCCGCGAGAGCCCCGCACACUGCCGGCGCGGGGCCGGGGCCGGGGCCGGAGCCGCGAGGCCGGCGCUCGCACUCCCCGCUAGGGUUCUUCAGCCCCUCAGUGCCCUCCCGGAGCCCUUUACCUGAACGGGAGCCUGAGAGAACGGACGACAGGAGCCGAGUGGAAAGCAGUGCCCGCGCCGGAGAUCAGCGCCGAGGGCGGGAGCCGACGUCUAGGGACCACAGAGCCGCGACGCGGCGAGCCGCGCACGGGCCAUUCCGCCGCCGCGAACGCAGAAAGCCUCGACCGCGCUCCGAGUCCAGCCAGCUCGCCUGUCACCUCGAUCUCUGCUUUAAGUGGCUUCCGGUCGCCUCCUCCCGACGGCCCGUCGCGGAGGCGGAGCCUGGGCGGCCGGAGUUCGGUGGGGUGGGGUGAGGAGGCCGGGCGCUCAGUGGGUGUCGGGAAGAAGACCCGCCCCCUGCGCGCGCGUGCGCGUUCGUUCGAGGGGAGGCGCGCGAGUUCUGUGCGGUGGACUUAUGCUCCCGCGAGGGGGCGUGUCCUUUCUCGCGUCCGCAGUGUCCCUGAGGGUCCGCGUCUACACGCGGCUGUGAGGAAGGAAGGCGCGUGCCGCGUGGGACGGGCUCCACCUGCCUGCGGACAGAUGGAGGGUCACUUUGUUCCGAGAAGACCCAGACACCCGAGGGAGGAUGUGAAACGGAACGACCCGUUUCGGUGCGGUUGGCUUUGUUUAUUUGCCUACUCCCCAGACGCCUCCAGCCUCUGAUUCCGGCACACCCUGUGAGGAAGCAAACGGCUGCCUCCCCCACUGCCACCAGACGAGGUCGCCUGCCCCGAGCCGGACAGGCUGGACAGGCUGCGCACCUGCGGCGGCCGACUAUUUCGUGGGCCUUGUACGCCACCUUGCAGAAGGGAAGCUGUGAGGUUUUGGCGAUAGAAGCGCAUUUACUUGUGUUUUAAAGCCCACAAACGCCGUAGUGACUAACUUAUUCAUUCAGCAAAUGUCUGUCAGAGCGUCUAUUACGUACCAGGCAUGUAGCCUGAACUUCACGCCUGUCCUCAUGGAGCUUGCAGAGCACCUCUGAAAUACACACCACAUACGGAAUGGCCAUAUUUUCUGGGUUGUAAAAUACUUUGAAUUGUAACUCCAUAUAUUGAAUAGAUUUUCAGUAGUGAGGGAAGAAACAAUACAUUUAGUUCAUAUAAUCCAUAUGUACGAAAAAGAAGUGCUGGUAAUUCCAGACAUGGAAGUCAGUAAAACUAGGAGCUAAGAGGUAAUAAUCAUAGACAUUAUGAUUCUAAGCCUUUGUUAAACGGUUCUAAACCAGACUGGGUAAGCGCACCAGCAAUGAAUAGAUUAAGGGUGUUAUCUCCUUAGCAGCUUAUUUCAAAUUGCAUCAAGGCAGGGCCAUUAAACUAAGGUGAGAAUGAUAUGGGCGGAAUUCAGAGGACAAUAGGUAAAAGAUGAAAAUCUUUACAUUUAAAAUCUUAUUGAGACAAGAUCUUGGUCAGUGUCUACUCAUACAUAGAAUUGCCUAGAAGCUAAUAUUUGAGUUUACCAUAUUACUGUUGGCUUUCUAUUUUUCUCAUUUGUUCUGUUUCUUUUCUGUCCUUUUGUGCCUUCUUGUAGAUUAUUAAUUCCACUCCCUUGUAACAAUUAGGUUGUUAUACAUUCUUUAUGCUUUUAGUAGUAUUUCAGUUAUUUAUUGCUGUGUUCAAACCACCCCCAAAAUAUAAUGACUUAAAACAAAAAAAAAAAAAAA
RNAcentral lists this long non-coding RNA (2556 nucleotides) under Homo sapiens (human). Its description in RNAcentral is "TIPARP antisense RNA 1 (TIPARP-AS1)". The record is from RNAcentral. Lineage: Eukaryota; Metazoa; Chordata; Mammalia; Primates; Hominidae.